This 496-nucleotide ribosomal RNA is filed under the name uncultured bacterium. RNAcentral describes it as "partial 16S ribosomal RNA". It matches the Rfam family "Bacterial small subunit ribosomal RNA", at positions 29 to 507 of the family's 1533-position model. The record is from RNAcentral.
AUGAACGCUGGCGGCGGGCCUAAUACAUGCAAGUCGAGCGAACAGACGAGGAGCUUGCUCCUCUGACGUUAGCGGCGGACGGGUGAGUAACACGUGGAUAACCUACCUAUAAGACUGGGAUAACUUCGGGAAACCGGAGCUAAUACCGGAUAAUAUAUUGAACCGCAUGGUUCAAUAGUGAAAGACGGUUUUGCUGUCACUUAUAGAUGGAUCCGCGCCGCAUUAGCUAGUUGGUAAGGUAACGGCUUACCAAGGCAACGAUGCGUAGCUGACCUGAGAGGGUGAUCGGCCACACUGGAACUGAGACACGGUCCAGACUCCUACGGGAGGCAGCAGUAGGGAAUCUUCCGCAAUGGGCGAAAGCCUGACGGAGCAACGCCGCGUGAGUGAUGAAGGUCUUCGGAUCGUAAAACUCUGUUAUUAGGGAAGAACAAAUGUGUAAGUAACUAUGCACGUCUUGACGGUACCUAAUCAGAAAGCCACGGCUAACUACGUG